GAAAUAAGAUUUUAAAUGAGUGCUAAGAGAAUGAUUAAACAAUUAAAAGCUUUCUUUAAUUAAAUAAUUAAAUUUAAUUUUUUAGUGCAAAAGCAAAAAUAAAAUUUAGGGACAAGAAGACCCUAUGAAUUUUUAUUGUUAAUAAUUAAAAUUUAAAUUAUUAAUAAUUUAAUUGGGGCGAUAAAAAAAGAAUAAGUAUCUUUUUAGUUAUAAAAUAAGUUCCGUUUUUAGCGAUUAAAUGAAAUAAAUACUCUAGGGAUAACAGCGUAAUAAUUUUGGAUAGUUCAUAUAGAUAAAAUAGUUUGCGACCUCGAUGUUGGAUUAGGAUUCUU
Molecule: ribosomal RNA, 332 nt
Filed under: Ixodes scapularis (black-legged tick)
Lineage: Eukaryota; Metazoa; Arthropoda; Arachnida; Ixodida; Ixodidae
Description: partial 16S ribosomal RNA
Source: RNAcentral